This 497-nucleotide ribosomal RNA is filed under the name uncultured bacterium. Its description in RNAcentral is "partial 16S ribosomal RNA". It matches the Rfam family "Bacterial small subunit ribosomal RNA", at positions 28 to 507 of the family's 1533-position model. The record is from RNAcentral.
GAUGAACGCUGGCGGCGUGCCUAAUACAUGCAAGUCGAGCGAACAGACGAGGAGCUUGCUCCUCUGACGUUAGCGGCGGACGGGUGAGUAACACGUGGAUAACCUACCUAUAAGACUGGGAUAACUUCGGGAAACCGGAGCUAAUACCGGAUAAUAUAUUGAACCGCAUGGUUCAAUAGUGAAAGACGGUUUUGCUGUCACUUAUAGAUGGAUCCGCGCCGCAUUAGCUAGUUGGUAAGGUAACGGCUUACCAAGGCAACGAUGCGUAGCCGACCUGAGAGGGUGAUCGGCCACACUGGAACUGAGACACGGUCCAGACUCCUACGGGAGGCAGCAGUAGGGAAUCUUCCGCAAUGGGCGAAUGCCUGACGUAGCAACGCCGCGUGAGUGAUGAAGGUCUUCGGAUCGUAAAACUCUGUUAUUAGGGAAGAACAAAUGUGUAAGUAACUAUGCACGUCUUGACGGUACCUAAUCAGAAAGCCACGGCUAACUACGUG